RNAcentral lists this ribosomal RNA (489 nucleotides) under uncultured bacterium. Its description in RNAcentral is "bacterial SSU rRNA". It matches the Rfam family "Bacterial small subunit ribosomal RNA", at positions 40 to 518 of the family's 1533-position model. The record is from RNAcentral.
CGGCGUGCCUAAUACAUAGCAAGUCGAACGAAGCACCUCGGUGCUAGUGGCGAACGGGUGAGUAACACGUGGGUAACCGUGCCCUCAAGACGAGGAUAACCGUUGGAAACGAUGGCUAAGACUGGAUAGGAAUACGGGAGGCAUCUUCUGUAUUUUAAAAGACCUGGCAACAGGUAUGCUUGAGGAGGGGCCUGCGGCGCAUUAGUUAGUUGGUGAGGUGAUGGCUCACCAAGACGAUGAUGCGUAGCCGGACUGAGAGGUUGAACGGCCACAUUGGGACUGAGACACGGCCCAAACUCCUACGGGAGGCAGCAGUAGGGAAUCUUCCGCAAUGGACGAAAGUCUGACGGAGCAACGCCGCGUGAGUGAAGAAGGUUUUUUCCGGAUCGUAAAACUCUGUUGUCAGAGAAGAACAAGUUGGAGAGUAACUGCUCCAGCCUUGACGGUAUCUGACCAGAAAGCCACGGCUAACUACGUGCCAGCCGCAGC